Molecule: small nucleolar RNA, 87 nt
Organism: Gossypium raimondii (Peruvian cotton)
Lineage: Eukaryota; Viridiplantae; Streptophyta; Magnoliopsida; Malvales; Malvaceae
Rfam family: small nucleolar RNA snoR114
Source: Rfam
AAGCUGUGAUGACGGUUGCGCUAAUCGGGAUGGUAGGGUCUAUCCCAUCUGUCUGAUUUUCCGACGAGACAAAGCGCUUCUGAGCUU